UGAAGGAAGGGGUUGUUGUUUUAAAAUAUUUGAAAGCAGAGAUGGUACAAUGUGGAUGUAUAUGUUAAGAGAAGGUACUUAGGACUAUUGGAUGUUGUUAGCACCAGAAAGCUUAAAAAAAAACACAAACCUAUAUUUUCACUUAAAUGUAGGAUUAGUUUUUCUAAAAAAAAUUUCAGUCUUUCAGUUCGGGUUUUUUAUUACUUAUUUUAAAGAAGUGAAUUGGGUACCAGAGGAUUAAACAUAGGCAAGGAGGACUGCUAGAAUCAACUCCGUUUUUGUCAUCUCCAUUAUCUUCAUCAUUUAUUUUUCUUCUUCCCCCUUCUCGCUUUUGACCUUCCCCUCUUCUUCUUUCUUUUUUCUACCUGUGACCCUUUGUCAGAGACAUCGUUUAGUUUGUAAACAUAGCCAUUGCACAUUUUCCUUUCAGCACUGAGGCCUUCUUUUCUCAAGGUCCCAGUUUCUUUCGCGUGGGUGAUGAUUAGGCCAGGAUGUGUUCAUUUGAUGGUGAGGGGUUGCUCAGGCCAAAACAGGAAGGACCACUUGGGUGGGUA
RNAcentral lists this long non-coding RNA (554 nucleotides) under Bos taurus (domestic cattle). Its description in RNAcentral is "long non-coding RNA NONBTAT006612". Lineage: Eukaryota; Metazoa; Chordata; Mammalia; Artiodactyla; Bovidae. The record is from RNAcentral.